UACGGAGGGUGCGAGCGUUGUCCGGAAUCACUGGGCGUAAAGGGCGCGUAGGCGGCCCGCGCAAGCGUGCGGUGAAAGCCCGGGGCUCAACCCCGGGUCGGCCGUGCGGACUGCGGGGCUCGAGCACUGUAGGGGCAGAUGGAAUUCCGGGUGUAGCGGUGGAAUGCGUAGAGAUCCGGAGGAAUACCGGUGGCGAAAGCGACUCUCUGGACGGCAACUGACGCUGAGGCACGAAAGCGUGGGGAGCAAACAGG
RNAcentral lists this ribosomal RNA (254 nucleotides) under uncultured bacterium. RNAcentral's name for it is "partial 16S ribosomal RNA". It matches the Rfam family "Bacterial small subunit ribosomal RNA", at positions 524 to 776 of the family's 1533-position model. The record is from RNAcentral.